CCUACGGGUGGCAGCAGUGGGGAAUAUUGCACAAUGGGGGAAACCCUGAUGCAGCGACGCCGCGUGAGCGAAGAAGUCUUUCGGUUUGUAAAGCUCUAUCAGCAGGGAAGAAAAUGACGGUACCUGACUAAGAAGCCCCGGCUAAAUCCGUUCCAGCAGCCGCGGUCAUACGUAUGGGUCAAGCGUUUUCCGGAUUUACUGGGUGUAACGGGAGUGCAGGCGGCUUGGCAAGUCUGAUGUGAAAGGCUGGGGCUCAACCCCAGGACUGCAUUUGAAACUGUGAGGCUGGAGUGUCGGAGAGGUAAGCGGAAUUCCUAGUGUAGCGGUGAAAUGCGUAGAUAUUAGGAGGAACACCAGUGGCGAAGGCGGCUUACUGGACGACAACUGACGCUGAGGCGCGAAAGCGUGGGGAGCAAACAGGAUUAGAUACCCUGGUAGUC
This 440-nucleotide ribosomal RNA is filed under the name uncultured bacterium. Its description in RNAcentral is "partial 16S ribosomal RNA". It matches the Rfam family "Bacterial small subunit ribosomal RNA", at positions 338 to 795 of the family's 1533-position model. The record is from RNAcentral.